This 442-nucleotide ribosomal RNA is filed under the name uncultured bacterium. RNAcentral's name for it is "partial 16S ribosomal RNA". It matches the Rfam family "Bacterial small subunit ribosomal RNA", at positions 338 to 795 of the family's 1533-position model. The record is from RNAcentral.
CCUACGGGAGGCAGCAGUGGGGAAUAUUGGGCAAUGGGCGCAAGCCUGACCCAGCAACGCCGCGUGAAGGAAGAAGGCUUUCGGGUUGUAAACUUCUUUUGUCAGGGAAGAGUAGAAGACGGUACCUGACGAAUAAGCCACGGCUAACUACGUGCCAGCAGCCGCGGUAAUACGUAGGUGGCAAGCGUUGUCCGGAUUUACUGGGUGUAAAGGGCGUGUAGCCGGGUUGACAAGUCAGAUGUGAAAUCCUGCGGCUUAACCGCAGAACUGCAUUUGAAACUGUUGAUCUUGAGUACUGGAGAGGCAGACGGAUUUCCUAGUGUAGCGGUGAAAUGCGUAGAUAUUAGGAGGAACACCGAUUGCGAAGGCAGCUUACUAAGCCAUAACUGACACUGAAGCACGAAAGCGUGGGGAUCAAACAGGAUUAGAUACCCCUGUAGUC